This 64-nucleotide transfer RNA is filed under the name Elliptorhina javanica. RNAcentral's name for it is "tRNA-Phe". Lineage: Eukaryota; Metazoa; Arthropoda; Insecta; Blattodea; Blaberidae. The record is from RNAcentral.
GUUAAAAUAGCUUAAUGAGAGUAUGGUAUUGAAGUUACUAUGGUGACAGUAAUGUCUUUUAACA